RNAcentral lists this ribosomal RNA (301 nucleotides) under uncultured bacterium. RNAcentral describes it as "partial 16S ribosomal RNA". It matches the Rfam family "Bacterial small subunit ribosomal RNA", at positions 509 to 808 of the family's 1533-position model. The record is from RNAcentral.
CAGUCGCCGCGGGAAUACGGGGGGGGCAAGUGUUAUUCGGAAUGACUGGGCGUAAAGGGCACGUAGGCGGUGAAAAGGGUGGAAAGUGAAAGUCGCCAAAACACUGGCGGGGUGCUUUCUUGACCAUUUCACUUGAGUGAGAUAGGGGAGAGUGGAAUUUCGUGUGGAGGGAUCAAAUCCUAAGAUAUACGAAGGAACGCCAACCGCGAAGGCAGCUCUCUGGGUCCCCACUGACGCUGGGGUGCGAAAGCAUGGGGAGCAAACAGGAUCAGAUACCCCGGUAGUCCCUGUCUCUUAUACA